AGUACGGUUUUCGGAGGGCUCUUACUCAGACUCACGUCGCGCUCCUCGCAGUUGGACUGGUGGGAAGUGGGAACACUGGAGACCUGAUUUCGAGCUGACGCUAGCGUCGCGGCCGCCGAACAGUCCUGGAUUCUGAGCCUGCCAUCCAAGGAACUCAGGAGGAGGAGUUGACCGUCUUCGUUCCUAACCACCCUGGGACAACUUCAGCAUGUCUCAGGCCACCAAGAGGAAGCAUGUGGUGAAGGAGGUGCUAGGAGAGCACAUAGUGCCCUCCGACCAGCAGCAGAUUGUCAGGGUACUCAGGACCCCAGGGAACAAUCUGCAUGAGGUGGAGACAGCCCAAGGGCAGCGCUUCCUGGUGAGCAUGCCCUCCAAAUACCGCAAGAACAUCUGGAUCAAGAGAGGUGAGAGGAUUACUCCUGUAAUCCCAGCACUUUGAGAGGCUGAGGUGGGAGGAUCGCUUGAGACCAGCCUGGGCAGUAUAAUGAGACCUUGUCUCUACAAAAAGAAAAAAAUUAGUUGGGCACCUGCCUGUGAUCCUAGCUACUCAGGAGCCUGC
RNAcentral lists this small RNA (559 nucleotides) under Pongo abelii (Sumatran orangutan). RNAcentral describes it as "retained intron". The record is from RNAcentral. Lineage: Eukaryota; Metazoa; Chordata; Mammalia; Primates; Hominidae.